RNAcentral lists this ribosomal RNA (253 nucleotides) under uncultured bacterium. RNAcentral's name for it is "partial 16S ribosomal RNA". It matches the Rfam family "Bacterial small subunit ribosomal RNA", at positions 524 to 776 of the family's 1533-position model. The record is from RNAcentral.
GACAGAGGGUGCAAACGUUGUUCGGAAUUACUGGGCGUAAAGCGAGUGUAGGCGGUCUCAUAAGUCGGGUGUGAAAGCCCUGGGCUCAACCCAGGAAGUGCACUCGAUACUGCGAGGCUAGAGUAUCGGAGAGGUUGGUGGAAUUCUCGGUGUAGAGGUGAAAUUCGUAGAUAUUAGGAAGAACACCAGUGGCGAAGGCGGCUCACUGGCCCGGUACUGACGCUGAGGCGCGAAAGCGUGGGGAGCAAACAGG